GUCGUAACAAGGUUUCCGUAGGUGAACCUGCGGAAGGAUCAUUACCACACCUCUUUUUAUCAGUAUAACUAAUGAAGCUUUCGGGUUUCAUCAAGUGUAUUGACAAAAAAACAAGAGAAAGAUGCGAGAAUGUAAAAAACUCUCAAGUCUGACUUUUGCGUCCCACGGAAUUAAAUAUUUUAUACUUGUGUUAAUAUGUCUUCGGAUAUGUUAACACAUUUAUAAUACACCAAAAUAACAUUUCAUAUGUUGAUCUGAUUAUGAUAUUCAAUAAUUAGGAGUCAAUUCGUUUAUUCGACUUGAUGACUAUAAAAAAUUAAUGAAAAAACACUUUCAGCAACGGAUGUCUUGGCUCCCAU
RNAcentral lists this unclassified non-coding RNA (359 nucleotides) under fungal sp. Its description in RNAcentral is "partial internal transcribed spacer region". The stretch from base 1 to 44 matches the Rfam family "Eukaryotic small subunit ribosomal RNA", at positions 1788 to 1831 of the family's 1831-position model. The record is from RNAcentral. Lineage: Eukaryota; Fungi.